UGGGGAAUAUUGCACAAUGGGCGAAAGCCUGAUGCAGCGACGCCGCGUGAGGGAUGACGGCCUUCGGGUUGUAAACCUCUUUCAGUAGGGAAGAAGCGAAAGUGACGGUACCUGCAGAAGAAGCGCCGGCUAACUACGUGCCAGCAGCCGCGGUAAUACGUAGGGCGCAAGCGUUAUCCGGAAUUAUUGGGCGUAAAGAGCUCGUAGGCGGUUUGUCGCGUCUAUCGUGAAAGUCCGAGGCUCAACCUCGGAUCUGCGGUGGGUACGGGCAGACUAGAGUGAUGUAGGGGAGACUGGAAUUCCUGGUGUAGCGGUGAAAUGCGCAGAUAUCAGGAGGAACACCGAUGGCGAAGGCAGGUCUCUGGGCAUUAACUGACGCUGAGGAGCGAAAGCAUGGGGAGCGAACAGG
This 409-nucleotide ribosomal RNA is filed under the name uncultured bacterium. RNAcentral describes it as "bacterial SSU rRNA". It matches the Rfam family "Bacterial small subunit ribosomal RNA", at positions 355 to 776 of the family's 1533-position model. The record is from RNAcentral. RNAcentral also lists the same sequence under 2 other names.